UAGGGAAUCUUCCACAAUGGACGCAAGUCUGAUGGAGCAACGCCGCGUGAGUGAAGAAGGUUUUCGGACCGUAAAGCUCUGUUGUUGGUGAAGAAGGAUAGAGGUAGUAACUGGCCUUUAUUUGACGGUAAUCAACCAGAAAGUCACGGCUAACUACGUGCCAGCAGCCGCGGUAAUACGUAGGUGGCAAGCGUUGUCCGGAUUUAUUGGGCGUAAAGCGAGCGCAGGCGGAAGAAUAAGUCUGAUGUGAAAGCCCUCGGCUUAACCGAGGAAUUGCAUCGGAAACUGUUUUCUUGAGUGCAGAAGAGGAGAGUAGAACUCCAUGUGUAGCGGUGGAAUGCGUAGAUAUAUGGAAGAAUACCAGUGGCGAAGGCGGCUCUCUGGUCUGCAACUGACGCUGAGGCUCGAAAGCAUGGGUAGCGAACAGGAUUAGAUACCCUUGGUAGUCC
This 449-nucleotide ribosomal RNA is filed under the name uncultured bacterium. Its description in RNAcentral is "partial 16S ribosomal RNA". It matches the Rfam family "Bacterial small subunit ribosomal RNA", at positions 355 to 796 of the family's 1533-position model. The record is from RNAcentral.